CCUACGGGCGGCAGCAGUGAGGAAUAUUGGUCAAUGGCCGAGAGUCUGAACCAGCCAAGUCGCGUGAGGGAUGACUGCCCUAUGGGUUGUAAACUUCUUUUAUAUGGGAAUAAAAUGUUCCACGUGUAGGAUUUUGUAUGUACCUUAUGAAUAAGGAUCGGCUAACUCCGUGCCAGCAGCCGCGGUAAUACGGAGGAUCCGAGCGUUAUCCGGAUUUAUUGGGUUUAAAGGGAGCGUAGGGGGGUUGUUAAGUCAGUUGUGAAAGCGUGGGGCUCAACCGUAAAAUUGCAGUUGAAACUGGAAGGCUUGAGUACAGGAGAGGUAGGCGGAAGUCGUGGUGGAGCGGUGAAAUGCUUAGAUAUCACGAAGAACCCCGAUUGCGAAGGCAGUUCACCAGACUGCGACUGACACUGAGGCACGAAAGCGUGGGUAGCAAACAGGAUUAGAUACCCCAGUAGUC
Molecule: ribosomal RNA, 460 nt
Filed under: uncultured bacterium
Lineage: Bacteria
Description: partial 16S ribosomal RNA
Rfam family: Bacterial small subunit ribosomal RNA
Source: RNAcentral